AUUGAACGCUGGCGGCAGGCUUAACACAUGCAAGUCGAACGAGUGGCGGACGGGUGAGUAAUGCUCGGGAAUCUCGCAUAUGGAGGGGGAUAACUACGGGACACUGUCGCUAAUACCGAGUACCCUAGGAUGAGCCCAAGUGGGAAUAGGUAGUUGGUGAGGUAAAGGCUCACCAAGCCGACGAUCCCUAGCUGGUCUGAGAGGAUGACCAGCCACACUGGGACUGAGACACGGCCCAGACUCCUACGGGAGGCAGCAGUGGGGAAUAUUGCACAAUGGGGGCAAGCUGAUGCAGCCAUGCCGCGUGAAUGAAGAAGGCCUUAGGGUUGUAAAGUUCUGUCGGUAGCGAGGCGUUAACUACAGAAGAAGCACCGGCUAACUCCGUGCCAGCAGCCGCGGUAAUAC
Molecule: ribosomal RNA, 405 nt
Filed under: uncultured bacterium
Lineage: Bacteria
Description: partial 16S ribosomal RNA
Rfam family: Bacterial small subunit ribosomal RNA
Source: RNAcentral